This 407-nucleotide ribosomal RNA is filed under the name uncultured bacterium. Its description in RNAcentral is "bacterial SSU rRNA". It matches the Rfam family "Bacterial small subunit ribosomal RNA", at positions 509 to 916 of the family's 1533-position model. The record is from RNAcentral.
CAGCAGCCGCGGUAAUACGUAGGGUGCGAGCGUUAAUCGGAAUUACUGGGCGUAAAGCGUGCGCAGGCGGUUAUAUAAGACAGAUGUGAAAUCCCCGGGCUCAACCUGGGAACUGCAUUUGUGACUGUAUAGCUAGAGUACGGCAGAGGGGGAUGGAAUUCCGCGUGUAGCAGUGAAAUGCGUAGAUAUGCGGAGGAACACCGAUGGCGAAGGCAAUCCCCUGGGCCUGUACUGACGCUCAUGCACGAAAGCGUGGGGAGCAAACAGGAUUAGAUACCCUGGUAGUCCACGCUCUAAACGAUGUCAACUGGUUGUUGGGUCUUCACUGACUCAGUAACGAAGCUAACGCGUGAAGUUGACCGCCUGGGGAGUACGGCCGCAAGGUUGAAACUUAAAGGAAUUGACGG